CUUUAAACCUCCUACCACUCACCAACGCCCCUCCACCAUGCGGUGUGGUGCAGAGAGAGAGAGAAGCACAUAUUCAAUGGGUAACAUGCAAUAAUGCAUAAACACAUAUAACUCUAUCUAUAUAUACGAGUAUAUAUUUGGAUUUGGUGGAUUAUGUUUUAGAAUCCAAUACUGAGAGAAACAGUACAAGAAAACAAAUGAAUAUGGUGCUAUUCAUUUCUUUUCUUCAACUUGUGAAUGCUGCAGCAAAUGGAGGAAGAAAUCAUUGGGCUUUUGCUUGUUUCUGGUCACAAUUAGUUCCCAUUUUCUAGCUAUCUCAAGACGAAGCUUACUAUUUUAGGAGCCUCUCAAGAAGAUGAUAGCUUCCCGACUCAAAGUUUUGGAAGAGGCAGACAGAACGGGGCCAGGCAAUACUUUUCUUAAUCUAAUUUCUCAGCUUACUUUUUCCUUUUAGAUUUGUAUGGAUUUCUAAAUUGAGAUGUUCAAAAGCCACAGUGUUUUUAAUUUGAAGAACAAGAAAAAUUCAAUGAAAUUCUUGAUCUGAUCAGUAAUUAUCUACCUUGGAAAGGUGUAAAGUUGUUAAGAGAUAUCAAGAUUCUGAACUUUUCUGCAUUUUAUGCGGUUUUUCAGUAUGGAAAACCUAUAAGCUGACGUUACAAACAUGGAUGGGUUCUCAUUUUCCUGUUCAUAUUCAUUAUUUCCUUAUAUGUCAGUCUAUACACGAACUUUUUCUACAAACUUCAGGCCGGCACAGGCUGCUUUGUCUUUCUGGAUUAGGUUUUCCAAAACUUUAAGCUAAUGUUAGUCCCGCACUCUAAAAUUCAUUUUUCUUCUAACUCUUUU
Molecule: long non-coding RNA, 843 nt
Filed under: Olea europaea subsp. europaea
Lineage: Eukaryota; Viridiplantae; Streptophyta; Magnoliopsida; Lamiales; Oleaceae
Source: RNAcentral